Molecule: ribosomal RNA, 572 nt
Filed under: Staphylococcus aureus
Lineage: Bacteria; Bacillati; Bacillota; Bacilli; Caryophanales; Staphylococcaceae
Description: bacterial SSU rRNA
Rfam family: Bacterial small subunit ribosomal RNA
Source: RNAcentral
UUUAUGGAGAGUUUGAUCCUGGCUCAGGAUGAACGCUGGCGGCGUGCCUAAUACAUGCAAGUCGAGCGAACGGACGAGAAGCUUGCUUCUCUGAUGUUAGCGGCGGACGGGUGAGUAACACGUGGAUAACCUACCUAUAAGACUGGGAUAACUUCGGGAAACCGGAGCUAAUACCGGAUAAUAUUUUGAACCGCAUGGUUCAAAAGUGAAAGACGGUCUUGCUGUCACUUAUAGAUGGAUCCGCGCUGCAUUAGCUAGUUGGUAAGGUAACGGCUUACCAAGGCAACGAUGCAUAGCCGACCUGAGAGGGUGAUCGGCCACACUGGAACUGAGACACGGUCCAGACUCCUACGGGAGGCAGCAGUAGGGAAUCUUCCGCAAUGGGCGAAAGCCUGACGGAGCAACGCCGCGUGAGUGAUGAAGGUCUUCGGAUCGUAAAACUCUGUUAUUAGGGAAGAACAUAUGUGUAAGUAACUGUGCACAUCUUGACGGUACCUAAUCAGAAAGCCACGGCUAACUACGUGCCAGCAGCCGCGGUAAUACGUAGGUGGCAAGCGUUAUCCGGAAUUAUU